This 496-nucleotide ribosomal RNA is filed under the name Acidovorax sp. 01WB04.4-41. RNAcentral describes it as "bacterial SSU rRNA". It matches the Rfam family "Bacterial small subunit ribosomal RNA", at positions 1 to 502 of the family's 1533-position model. Lineage: Bacteria; Pseudomonadati; Pseudomonadota; Betaproteobacteria; Burkholderiales; Comamonadaceae. The record is from RNAcentral.
UGAGCUUGAUCCUGCUCAGAUUGAACGCUGGCGGCAUGCCUUACACAUGCAAGUCGAACGGUAACAGGUCUUCGGAUGCUGACGAGUGGCGAACGGGUGAGUAAUACAUCGGAACGUGCCCGAUCGUGGGGGAUAACGGAGCGAAAGCUUUGCUAAUACCGCAUACGAUCUACGGAUGAAAGCAGGGGACCGCAAGGCCUUGCGCGGACGGAGCGGCCGAUGGCAGAUUAGGUAGUUGGUGGGAUAAAAGCUUACCAAGCCGACGAUCUGUAGCUGGUCUGAGAGGACGACCAGCCACACUGGGACUGAGACACGGCCCAGACUCCUACGGGAGGCAGCAGUGGGGAAUUUUGGACAAUGGGCGAAAGCCUGAUCCAGCCAUGCCGCGUGCAGGAUGAAGGCCUUCGGGUUGUAAACUGCUUUUGUACGGAACGAAAAGACUCCUUCUAAUAAAGGGGGUCCAUGACGGUACCGUAAGAAUAAGCACCGGCUAACU